AGAACUAUAGCUUAAUUGGAAAAGUACCGACCUCUCAAGUCGGAGAUGCGAGUUCGAGUCUCGCUAGUUCUACUA
This 75-nucleotide transfer RNA is filed under the name Winogradskyella sp. Its description in RNAcentral is "tRNA-Glu". It matches the Rfam family "tRNA". Rfam says of the family: Transfer RNA (tRNA) molecules are approximately 80 nucleotides in length. Their secondary structure includes four short double-helical elements and three loops (D, anti-codon, and T loops). Lineage: Bacteria; Pseudomonadati; Bacteroidota; Flavobacteriia; Flavobacteriales; Flavobacteriaceae. The record is from RNAcentral.